RNAcentral lists this ribosomal RNA (253 nucleotides) under uncultured bacterium. Its description in RNAcentral is "partial 16S ribosomal RNA". It matches the Rfam family "Bacterial small subunit ribosomal RNA", at positions 524 to 776 of the family's 1533-position model. The record is from RNAcentral.
UACGGGGGGGGCAAGCGUUGUUCGGAAUUACUGGGCGUAAAGGGCUCGUAGGCGGCCAACUAAGUCAGACGUGAAAUCCCUCGGCUUAACCGGGGAACUGCGUCUGAUACUGGAUGGCUUGAGAUUGGGAGAGGGAUGCGGAAUUCCAGGUGUAGCGGUGGAAUGCGCAGAUAUCAGGAGGAACACCAAUAGCGAAGGCAGCUCGCUGGGACGGUACUGACGCUAAGGCGCGAAAGCGUGGGGAGCGAACAGG